UACGUAGGGUGGCAAGCGUUAAUCGGAAUUACUGGGUCGUAAAGCGUGCGCAGGCGGUUUUGUAAGUCUGCUGUGAAAGCCCGUGGGCCUCAACCUGGGAACUGCAGUGGAUACUGGCGGACUAGAGUGUGAUAGAGGAUGGUGGAAUUCCCGGUGUAGCGGUGAAAAUGCGUAGAGAUCGGGAGGAACAACCAGUGGCGAAGGCGGCCAUCUGGAUCAACACUGACGCUGAGGCACGAAAGCGUGGGGAGCAAACAGG
RNAcentral lists this ribosomal RNA (259 nucleotides) under uncultured bacterium. RNAcentral's name for it is "partial 16S ribosomal RNA". It matches the Rfam family "Bacterial small subunit ribosomal RNA", at positions 524 to 776 of the family's 1533-position model. The record is from RNAcentral.